Molecule: ribosomal RNA, 482 nt
Filed under: uncultured bacterium
Lineage: Bacteria
Description: bacterial SSU rRNA
Rfam family: Bacterial small subunit ribosomal RNA
Source: RNAcentral
UGAGGAAUUCUGCGCAAUGGGGGGAACCCUGACGCAGCAACGCCGCGUGAGUGAUGAAGGCCGUUAGGUUGUAAAGCUCUGUCGCCCGGGAAGAAAGGUCUUUUCAGGAAAUGGGGAGGAUUUGACGGUACCGGGAAAGGAAGCACCGGCUAACUCCGUGCCAGCAGCCGCGGUAAUACGGGGGGUGCGAGCGUUAUUCGGAAUCAUUGGGUGUAAAGCGCAUGUAGGCGGCUGGGUGUGUCAGAUGUGAAAGCCCGGGGCUCAACCCCGGAAGCGCAUUUGAAACUGCCUGGCUUGAGUCUCGGAGAGGAAAGUGGAAUUCCCAGUGUAGAGGUGGAAUUCGUAGAUAUUGGGAGGAACACCGGUGGCGAAAGCGACUUUCUGGACGAAGACUGACGCUCAGAUGCGAAAGCGUGGGUAGCAAACAGGAUUAGAUACCCUGGUAGUCCACGCUGUAAACGAUGGGUACUAGGUGUCGGGGG